This 160-nucleotide ribosomal RNA is filed under the name uncultured bacterium. Its description in RNAcentral is "partial 16S ribosomal RNA". It matches the Rfam family "Bacterial small subunit ribosomal RNA", at positions 332 to 508 of the family's 1533-position model. The record is from RNAcentral.
CAGACUCCUACGGGAGGCAGCAAGUGGGGAAUAUUGCACAAUGGGGGAAACCCUGAUGCAGCGACGCCGCGUGGAGGAAGAAGGUCUUCGGAUUGUAAACUCCUGUUGUUGAGGAAGAUAAUGACGGUACUCAACAAGGAAGUGACGGCUAACUACGUGC